Molecule: ribosomal RNA, 463 nt
Filed under: uncultured bacterium
Lineage: Bacteria
Description: partial 16S ribosomal RNA
Rfam family: Bacterial small subunit ribosomal RNA
Source: RNAcentral
GAUGAACGCUGACAGAAUGCUUAACACAUGCAAGUCUUUGGCGAAGCUGUGCUCGCCCAGCCUAGCCAAGGCGGACGGGUGAGUAACGCGUAAGGAACUUGCCCUGCAGUCAGGGAUAACAGACGGAAACGACUGAUAAGACCUGGUAAAGUCAGGCGGACUCAUGUCCAGCCUGAUGAAAAGAGAUGCUGCAGGAGAGCCUUGCGUCCUAUUAGCUUGUUGGUGGGGUAACGGCCCACCAAGGCGAUGAUAGGUAGCCGGCCGGAGAGGGUGGACGGCCACAAGGGGACUGGGAUACGGCCCUUACUCCUACGGGAGGCAGCAGUGGGGAAUAUUGGACAAUGGGGGCAACCCUGAUCCAGCAAUUCUGUGUGCACGAUGAAGGUUUUCGGAUUGUAAAGUGCUUUCAGCAGGGAAGAAAAAAAUGACGGUACCUGCAGAAGAAGCGACGGCUAAAUACGUG